CGGUGGAGCAUGUGGCUUAAUUCGAUGCAACGCGAAGAACCUUACCUGGUCUUGACAUCCCGGAGACCCUUAGGAACUAGGGGUGCUUCCAUCUGGAAGAAUCUGGAGACAGGUGCUGCAUGGCUGUCGUCAGCUCGUGUCGUGAGAUGUUGGGGUUAAGUCCCGCAACGAGCGCAACCCUUGCCUUUAGUUGCCAGCAGUUCGGCUGGGCACUCUAAAGGGACUGCCGGUGUUAAACCGGAGGAAGGUGGGGAUGACGUCAAGUCCUCAUGGCCUUUAUGACCAGGGCUACACACGUACUACAAUGGCCGAUACAAAGGGCAGCGACACUGCGAGGUGAAGCCAAUCCCGUAAAAUCGGUCUCAGUCCGGAUUGGAGUCUGCAACUCGACUCCAUGAAGUUGGAAUCGCUAGUAAUCGUGGAUCAGCAUGCCACGGUGAAUACGUUCCCGGGCCUU
Molecule: ribosomal RNA, 457 nt
Filed under: uncultured Desulfobulbus sp.
Lineage: Bacteria; Pseudomonadati; Thermodesulfobacteriota; Desulfobulbia; Desulfobulbales; Desulfobulbaceae
Description: bacterial SSU rRNA
Rfam family: Bacterial small subunit ribosomal RNA
Source: RNAcentral